RNAcentral lists this ribosomal RNA (119 nucleotides) under Pteropus alecto (black flying fox). The record is from RNAcentral. Lineage: Eukaryota; Metazoa; Chordata; Mammalia; Chiroptera; Pteropodidae.
GUCUACAGCUAUGCUAUCCUGAACAAGCCCGAUCCCAUCUGAUCUCAGAAGCUAAGCAGGGUCAGGCCUGGGUAGUACUUGGAUGGGAGACCACCUAGGAAGACCAGGUGCUGUAGGUG